Molecule: ribosomal RNA, 1190 nt
Rfam family: Bacterial small subunit ribosomal RNA
AACACGUAAUGUCGCAUGACGUUUCAUUGAAAGACGGCUCAGGCUGUCGCUACAGGAUGGGCCCCCGGCGCAUUACCUAGUUGGUGAGGUAACGGCUCACCAAGGCGACGAUGCGUAGCCAACCUGAGAGGGUGAUCGGCCACACUGGGACUGAAACACGGCCCAAACUCCUACGGGAGGCACCAGUAGGGAAUCUUCCGCAAUGGACGAAAGUCUGACGGAGCAACGCCGCGUGAGCGAAGAAGGCCUUCGGGUCGUAAAGCUCUGUUGUUAGGGAAGAACAAGUAACGCAGUAACUGGCGCUACCUUGACGGUACCUAACGAGAAAGCCACGGCUAACUACGUGCCAGCAGCCGCGGUAAUACGUAGGUGGCAAGCGUUGUCCGGAAUUAUUGGGCGUAAAGCGCGCGCAGGCGGUUCUCUGAUGUGAAAGCCCACGGCUCAACCGUGGAGGGUCAUUGGAAACUGGGAUACUUGAGUGCAGAAGAGGAGAGCGCACGUGUAGCGGUGAAAUGCGUAGAGAUGUGGAGGAACACCAGUGGCGAAGGCGACUCUCUGGUCUGUAACUGACGCUGAUGUCGCGAAGCGUGAGGAGCACACAGGAUUAGAUACCCUGGUAGUCCACGCCGUAAACGAUGAGUGCUAAGUGUUAGAGGGUUUCCACCCUUUAGUGCUGUAGCUAACGCACACUCCGCCUGGGGAGUACGAUCGCAAGAGUGAAACUCAAAGGAAUUGACGGGGGCCCGCACAAGCGGUGGAGCAUGUGGUUUAAUGCAACGCGAAGAACCUUACCAGGUCUUGACAUCCUCUGACAACCCCUAGAGAUAGGGCGUUCCCCUUUCGGGGAGACAGGGAGACGGGGGGCGUGUGUGUGUCCUCCGCGCGUGGCGAGAUGUGGUGGUAUAUCUCCCAACGCGAGCACCCCUUUCGAUUUUAUGCGCCCAUUUUCUUGGGGGCUCUCUGAUGAGAGCGGGGGACAAACCGGAGAAGGGGGGGGAGGAGACCUCAUCUCCUCGCGCCUUAUAAGAUGGGGUACACACGUGUUACAAUGUGGGAGACACAGGGGGUCGCGAACCCGAGAGGGGGAACCUCUCCCAAAAAGGCUCUCUCUUCUGAGAGUGGACGGCGCCUCUCCUCCGUGAGACUGGAGUCUCUAUUCACAUAUCAACGCGCCGCGGAGAAUAUUCUCG